UUUUGACCUGAACUCAGUCGAGAGCACCCGCUGAACUUAAGCAUAUCAGUAAGCGGAGGAAAAGAAACUAAAUAGGAUUCCCCCAGUAACGGCGAGUGAAAAGGGAAAAGUCCAUCGCUAAAUCGUUUUGCCUCAGGCAUUAUGAGGUGUAGCGUAUAAGUCUUAAACUUUGAUCUUUUGUCUCAAACAAGUCCCCUUGACAGAGGUUCCACAGAAGGUGCAAGUCCUGUACGUUGAGAUAAUUGAUCGAUAUUUGCGUGCUUUAGAGUCGGGUUGUUUGGGAUCGCAGCCCAAAGUCGGUGGUAAACUUCAUCUAAGACUUAAUAUUGCCACGAGACCGAUAGCAAACAAGUACUGUGAAGGAAAGUUGCAAAGCACUUUGAAGAGAGAGUUAAAGAGGACGUGAAACCGGUAAGGUGGAAACGGAUAGAGUCGGCGUAUCAUUCAAUUAUUCAGUUACAUUAUUUUUAUGUUGUGACCUCUGAGCUCCAGAUUGGGACAGAGGGAAUCAGCAUAAUUUUUUGUGGUGCAUUUACUUGAUUGGUGCUUGGGGAUGUUUGAGGCAGAUUUGUUUCCGUCGUUUUGAGGCCAGCUUGCUGGUACCCAAACGGUGUUAGCAUUUUUUGUCUUGGGCAUUUGAGUAUGGCUCACGUGUAUUUAUGACAGAUCUGAGUGUAAGUUACGGUCGCAUGCGACACGUGCUUUUCAAUUAGUUCGGUCCAGUUAAUGCUCUCGUACUCGUUCCCCAUGUAAAAGCCGGUCAUCUAUCCGACCCGUUUGAAACACGGACCAAGGAGUUUAUCGUGUGCGCAAGUUUUUGGGUGUUAAAAACUUAAAAGCGAAAUGAAAGUAAAUGACUCUUUAGAGUCUGAUGUGCGAUCUUGUAAAAAAGUGUAGCAUGGCCCCAUUCUAACUGUUUACAGUAGGGUGGCGGAAGAGCGUACGCGGUGAGACCCGAAAGAUGGUGAACUAUUCCUGAGCAGGACGAAGCCAGAGGAAACUCUGGUGGAAGUCCGAAGCGGUUCUGACGUGCAAAUCGAUCGUCUGACUUGGGUAUAGGGGCGAAAGACUAAUCGAACCAUCUAGUAGCUGGUUCCCUCUGAAGUUUCCCCCAGGAUAGCUGGAGCUCAAGAGUAGUUAUACUCGGUAAAGCGAAUGAUUAGGACUUGGGAACGAAAUGUUCUUAACCUAUUCUCAAACUCUAAAUGGUUAUGAUGUCAAAGUUGCUUGAUUUUGAACUUUGGCGUUGAAUACGAGCUCCAAGUGGGCCAUUUUUGGUAAGCAGAACUGGCGAUGUGGGAUGAACCAAACGCGGAGUUGCGGUGCCAAAGUAUCCGCUCAUUAGACCCCAUAAAAGGUGUUGGUUGAUACAGACAGCAGGACGGUGGCCAUGGAAGUCGGAAUCCGCUAAGGAGUGUGUAACAACUCACCUGCCGAAUCAACUAGCCCUGAAAAUGGAUGGCGCUGGAGCGGGUCACCUAUACUCUGCCGUCAUAAGCUUGUAUUUUGUUAAAAAGUCUUGCAAUGACGUGUAAGAGGGUCGUAGUGGUUGCGUUGAAGGCUUUGGGUGUGCACCCAGCUGGAGCUUCCACUAGUGCAAUCUUGGUGGUAGUAGCAAAUAUUCAAGUGAGAUCCUUGAAGACUGAAGUGGAGAAGGGUUCCACGUGAACAGCAGUUGAAUGUGGGUCAGUCGAUCCUAAGGCACCGGCUAAAGCCGUCUAGACACUGCGGGGAGAUGAGAUACUUAACGGUAACUUGUCUACCUGGUUGCCGAAAGGGAAGUGGGUUAAUAUUCCCACACCAGGCAUGGGAGAUUGUGAUCCGCGAGGAUUACUUUGCGCGGUGACGCAAACGAACUCGCAGACCUCGUGUGGAGUCCGGGCCAGAGUUCUCUUUUCUGGUUUAGAGAUUAUGUCCCUGGAAGUGGCUCAGCCUGAGAUAGGGAUGCUGGUCUCGUAAAGCGCAGCGGUUCCUGUUGUGUCCCGUGUGCUCCACAUGAGCCGUGAAAAUGCGAGGGAGGCAAUUUAAAAUCUCCUGCCUGAUCGUAUUCAUAUCCGCAGCAGGUCUCCAAGGUGAACAGCCUCUAGUCGAUAGAAUAAUGUAGGUAAGGGAAGUCGGCAAAUUAGAUUCGUAACUUCGGGAAAAGAAUUGGCUCUAAAGGUUGGGUCAGUCGGGCUGUUGUGUGAAACAGGUGGACUUUGCUCGUGGCUGCUUGAGCUUCCUUUCGGGGCGGCGCUUGUGGACUAGUAGUGAGGACUGCUUGUGGAGCGCUUCAGCUGCGUGCUAUUUCGCAAGAUGUAGUACUUCGAUUGGCGCUGAACAACCAGUUUAGAACUGGCACGAACUCCGGGAAUCCGACUGUCUAAUUAAAACAGAGGAGACGGAUGGUCCUUGCAGGACGUUGACCGUGUCUGAUUUCUGCCCAGUGCUCUGAAUGUUAAGCCAAGGAAACUUGAUUAAGCGCGGGUAAACGGCGGGAGUAACUAUGACUCUCUUAAGGUAGCCAAAUGCCUCGUCGGCUAACUACCGACGCGCACGAAUGGAUCAACGAGAUUCCCACUGUCCCUAUCUACUAUCUAGCGAAACCACAGCCAAGGGAACGGGCUUGGCAAAUUUAGCGGGGAAAGAAGACCCUGUUGAGCUUGACUCUAGUCUGACUUUGUGAAGAAUCAUGAGAGGUGUAGCAUAAGUGGGAGUCGCAAGACAACAGUGGGAUAACUGGCUUGUGGCGGCCAAGCGUCCAUAGCGACGUCGCUUUUUGAUCCUUCGAUGUCGGCUCUUCCUAUCAUUGCGAAGCAGAAUUCGCCAAGCGUUGGAUUGUUCACCCACCAAUAGGGAACGUGAGCUGGGUUUAGACCGUCGUGAGACAGGUUAGUUUUACCCUACUAAAUACUUGUUGCUAUGAUGGUAAUCCUGCUUAGUACGAGAGGAACCGCAGGUUCAGACAUUUGGUUCAUGUGCUUGGUCGAUAGGCCAAUGGCGCGAAGCUACCAUCUGAGGGAUUAUGACUGAACGCCUCUAAGUCAGAAUCCCGCCCAGUCAUGAUAGCAAUAUAUAUCGCUCUCCGGUGUCGGAAGGCAAAAUGUAUGCCAUUUUUUGUGGUAGUACAAGCCCCAGUAUCUGGCAUUUUCUUUCUACUAUAAUUGGUAGUUGGUUGCUAAAAGCUUAGCACUCCUCGUGCAUGUGUAACGUCGGGGCGCAAAAUCACUUGU
RNAcentral lists this ribosomal RNA (3212 nucleotides) under Meloidogyne incognita (southern root-knot nematode). RNAcentral describes it as "eukaryotic LSU rRNA". It matches the Rfam family "Eukaryotic large subunit ribosomal RNA". The record is from RNAcentral. Lineage: Eukaryota; Metazoa; Nematoda; Chromadorea; Rhabditida; Meloidogynidae.